GACGAACGCUGGCGGCGUGCUUAACACAUGCAAGUCGAACGGAAAGGCCUGCUUUCCCUUGUGGAUUGCGGGUACUCGAGUGGCGAACGGGCGAGUAACACGUGAGUGAUCUGCCCCCAACUUGGGUAUAAGCCUGGGAAACUGGGUCUAAUUCCCGAUCGGACUGCAGGGUGGUGCCUGUGGUGGAAAACGAUUUUCUAGUGGUUGGGGAUGAGCUCGCGGCCUAUCAGCUUGUUGGUGGGGUAAUGGCCUACCAAGGCGGCGACGGGUAGCCGGCCUGGGAGGGUGGACGGUCAAAUUGGGACUGAGAUACGGCCCAGACGCCUACGGGAGGCAGCAGUGGGGAAUAGUGCACAAUGGGCGGAAGCCUGAUGCAGCGACGCCGCGUGGGGGAUGACGGCCUUCGGGUUGUAAACUCCUUUCGACCGCGAGGAAGCCACCUGGUUGGAAGGGUGGUGACGGUAGUGGUAGAAGAAGCACCGGCUAACUACGUG
RNAcentral lists this ribosomal RNA (494 nucleotides) under uncultured bacterium. RNAcentral's name for it is "partial 16S ribosomal RNA". It matches the Rfam family "Bacterial small subunit ribosomal RNA", at positions 28 to 507 of the family's 1533-position model. The record is from RNAcentral.